Molecule: ribosomal RNA, 234 nt
Filed under: Escherichia coli
Lineage: Bacteria; Pseudomonadati; Pseudomonadota; Gammaproteobacteria; Enterobacterales; Enterobacteriaceae
Also listed under: 1 other name
Description: partial 16S ribosomal RNA
Rfam family: Bacterial small subunit ribosomal RNA
Source: RNAcentral
AAAUUGAAGAGUUUGAUCAUGGCUCAGAUUGAACGCUGGCGGCAGGCCUAACACAUGCAAGUCGAACGGUAACAGAAAGCAGCUUGCUGCUUUGCUGACGAGUGGCGGACGGGUGAGUAAUGUCUGGGAAACUGCCUGAUGGAGGGGGAUAACUACUGGAAACGGUAGCUAAUACCGCAUAACGUCGCAAGACCAAAGAGGGGGACCUUCGGGCCUCUUGCCAUCGGAUGUGCC